Molecule: ribosomal RNA, 253 nt
Filed under: uncultured bacterium
Lineage: Bacteria
Also listed under: 1 other name
Description: partial 16S ribosomal RNA
Rfam family: Bacterial small subunit ribosomal RNA
Source: RNAcentral
UACAGAGGUCUCAAGCGUUGUUCGGAAUCACUGGGCGUAAAGGGUGCGUAGGCGGCGCAGCAAGUCAGAUGUGAAAUCCGGAGGCUCAACCUCCGAACUGCAUCCGAAACUGCUGUGCUCGAGAUCUGUAGAGGGACUUGGAAUUCUCGGUGUAGCAGUGAAAUGCGUAGAUAUCGAGAAGAACGCUCGUGGCGAAGGCGAAGUCCUGGGCAGAUUCUGACGCUGAGGCACGAAGGCCAGGGGAGCAAACGGG